RNAcentral lists this ribosomal RNA (562 nucleotides) under uncultured bacterium. RNAcentral's name for it is "partial 16S ribosomal RNA". It matches the Rfam family "Bacterial small subunit ribosomal RNA", at positions 355 to 912 of the family's 1533-position model. The record is from RNAcentral.
UGGGGAAUUUUGGACAAUGGGCGAAAGCCUGAUCCAGCAAUGCCGCGUGUGUGAAGAAGGCCUUCGGGUUGUAAAGCACUUUUGUCCGGAAAGAAAUCCUUGGCUCUAAUACAGUCGGGGGAUGACGGUACCGGAAGAAUAAGCACCGGCUAACUACGUGCCAGCAGCCGCGGUAAUACGUAGGGUGCAAGCGUUAAUCGGAAUUACUGGGCGUAAAGCGUGCGCAGGCGGUUUGCUAAGACCGAUGUGAAAUCCCCGGGCUCAACCUGGGAACUGCAUUGGUGACUGGCAGGCUAGAGUAUGGCAGAGGGGGGUAGAAUUCCACGUGUAGCAGUGAAAUGCGUAGAGAUGUGGAGGAAUACCGAUGGCGAAGGCAGCCCCCUGGGCAAUACUGACGCUCAUGCACGAAAGCGUGGGGAGCAAACAGGAUUAGAUACCCUGGUAGUCCACGCCCUAAAACGAUGUCAACUAGUUGUUGGGGAUUCAUUCCUUAGUAACGUAGCUAACGCGUGAAGUUGACCGCCUGGGGAGUACGUCGCAAGAUUAAAACUCAAAGGAAUUG